AGAGUUUGAUCAUGGCUCAGAGCGAACGCUGGCGGCAGGCCUAACACAUGCAAGUCGAACGAACCCUUCGGGGUUAGUGGCGGACGGGUGAGUAACACGUGGGAACGUGCCUUUAGGUCCGGAAUAACUCAGGGAAACUUGUGCUAAUACCGAAUGUGCCCUUCGGGGGAAAGAUUUAUCGCCUUUAGAGCGGCCCGCGUCUGAUUAGCUAGUUGGUGAGGUAAAGGCUCACCAAGGCUACGAUCAGUAGCUGGUCUGAGAGGAUGACCAGCCACAUUGGGACUGAGACACGGCCCAAACUCCUACGGGAGGCAGCAGUGGGGAAUCUUGCGCAAUGGGCGAAAGCCUGACGCAGCCAUGCCGCGUGGAUGAUGAAGGUCUUAGGAUUGUAAAAUCCUUUCACCGGUGAAGAUAAUGACUGUAGCCGGAGAAGAAGCCCCGGCUAACUUCGUGCCAGCAGCCGCGGUAAUA
RNAcentral lists this ribosomal RNA (471 nucleotides) under uncultured bacterium. RNAcentral's name for it is "bacterial SSU rRNA". It matches the Rfam family "Bacterial small subunit ribosomal RNA", at positions 8 to 525 of the family's 1533-position model. The record is from RNAcentral.